GGACCCCUCCCUGCCCAUCAACAUUCUCUCCAGAAACAUAGUUUCCCACAAGACUAAGGGAACAGACGGAAGAAUCUGCGGCAGGUAGAAUGAGCUGAAACUGCACCUGGCAGCCUUGGGAGCUGGUAACUCUCUGGGUCUGCAUGUGCGUAGUCGGAGCCUUUUGGCCUUUCGUCACCCUCAAGCUUGUAAAACCCUGAGGAAGCUGUGGCUUCGUUACUUUACCACCUCGCUUCAUUUCCUGUUCUGAGGACAUUGCUCUGUGCGAAUGACCUCAGAACUGCCCAGAAGCCGAGAGCUGUGUCGUCUGGCUUCAGACGUUGAGCUGUGCUUCAAGUUCCAGCCUCAAAGUGGUGACACUCCUCCAGCCCCUUGGACCAUGCGGAGACCUGCACCACCUACCUACAUCUCUAUGUCUGGGCCAGCAGUGUUGCCUGGUUUCUUGGCAAAUCCCUGGUUUGCUUGGUUCUGGGUAGGUAACCUGUGCCCAGCAGAGUGAAGCAUCUCAGGAUGUCCUCAGAUGGAGGAAGAUGACACAGCUCAGAUCCUAGAGGGGAGCAGGAAGUCCAAGCUGAACCCUCUCACAGAGGUCCUCGCUUGAGUAGAGCUACCCCAGGGCAGUGUGGACAGUGGGAGAAGUCCUGAGCUAAUGUGUGCUGUGGCCAUGUCAGGGACUGCGGUGCCUCAGACCAAGAGAAUGGCAAAGCCUUCCCUGAGUGAGGCUCAGAGGGAAGGAAGCCUCCUCUGUCCUGACCUGGAAUACUGACAGAGUGUGUACAAACUGCCAACCACAGCUUCCUCCUCCCUGGUGACCGCAGCCUGAGAUUGUGCCCCUACAGAGACCCUGUUCUCAGAUAAGCUAAAUCUGCCUCCUUGUUCAGCCAAAUGCCAUAAACUCUCCUCCCUGAUUCAGAUAUAAAAUGAGUGUGUUGAAUUUCCAGGUUAUUAUUGUAGCUGGGCAUCCAUCAGAGCCCACACAGCUCACUGAUCCCACUUUCUUC
RNAcentral lists this long non-coding RNA (1001 nucleotides) under Mus caroli (Ryukyu mouse). RNAcentral's name for it is "lncRNA (MGP_CAROLIEiJ_G0005836.1)". The record is from RNAcentral. Lineage: Eukaryota; Metazoa; Chordata; Mammalia; Rodentia; Muridae.